RNAcentral lists this ribosomal RNA (253 nucleotides) under uncultured bacterium. Its description in RNAcentral is "partial 16S ribosomal RNA". It matches the Rfam family "Bacterial small subunit ribosomal RNA", at positions 524 to 776 of the family's 1533-position model. The record is from RNAcentral.
CACGUAGGGUGCGAGCGUUGUCCGGAAUUAUUGGGCGUAAAGAGCUCGUAGGCGGUCCGUCACGUCGGAUGUGAAAUUCCAGGGCUCAACCCUGGACCUGCAUUCGAUACGGGCGGACUAGAGUUCGGUAGGGGAGACUGGAAUUCCUGGUGUAGCGGUGAAAUGCGCAGAUAUCAGGAGGAACACCGAUGGCGAAGGCAGGUCUCUGGGCCAUAACUGACGCUGAGAAGCGAAAGCAUGGGGAGCGAACAGG